AACGAGGCCGACCUGCGGCUGAGUUACCUGCGGAGGGAUCAUUACCAGUACCACCGUCGCCUCCGGGCGUCGGUCUACUACCAACCCUUUGUCAUCCGACCUCGUUGCCUCCGGGUGCGACCCUGACCUUCGGGUCUCGCGUCUCCCCGGGUGGACACACAUCAAAACUCUGCAUAACUUUGUUGUCUGAGUAAAACUUUUAAUUAAAUUAAAACUUUUAACAACGGAUCUCAGAUCGGA
This 240-nucleotide unclassified non-coding RNA is filed under the name soil metagenome. RNAcentral describes it as "partial contains 5.8S ribosomal RNA, internal transcribed spacer 2, and large subunit ribosomal RNA". The record is from RNAcentral.